UCCUGGUAAUUUAGUCUUAUGUGUACCACCUCUUCCCAUUCCGAACAGAGAAGUGAAAGCAUAAGACCCUGAUGAUACUUACGGCUUCGGCUGUUGGGAAAGUAGGGUUCGCCGGGAU
RNAcentral lists this ribosomal RNA (118 nucleotides) under Candidatus Harrisonbacteria bacterium RIFCSPHIGHO2_02_FULL_40_20. Lineage: Bacteria; Candidatus Harrisoniibacteriota. The record is from RNAcentral. RNAcentral also lists the same sequence under 1 other name.